This 459-nucleotide ribosomal RNA is filed under the name uncultured bacterium. RNAcentral's name for it is "partial 16S ribosomal RNA". It matches the Rfam family "Bacterial small subunit ribosomal RNA", at positions 338 to 795 of the family's 1533-position model. The record is from RNAcentral.
CCUACGGGGGGCAGCAGUGAGGAAUAUUGGUCAAUGGGCGAGAGCCUGAACCAGCCAAGUCGCGUGAGGGAGUACUGCCCUAUGGGUUGUAAACCUCUUUUGUCGGGGAGCAAAAGCCGGACGUGUCCGGCUGUGAGAGUACCCGAAGAAAAAGCAUCGGCUAACUCCGUGCCAGCAGCCGCGGUAAUACGGGGGAUGCGAGCGUUAAUCGGAAUUACUGGGCGUAAAGCGCUCGUAGGCGGUAUGUCAAGUCAAGGGUGAAAUCCCCGCGCUCAACGUGGGAACUGCCUUUGAAACUGGCAAACUGGAGUGUGUGAGAGGAUAGUGGAAUUCCAGGUGUAGGAGUGAAAUCCGUAGAUAUCUGGAAGAACACCAGUGGCGAAGGCGGCUUUCUGGACUGAAACUGACGCUGAGGCACGAAAGCGUGGGGAGCGAACAGGAUUAGAUACCCGUGUAGUC